RNAcentral lists this ribosomal RNA (461 nucleotides) under uncultured bacterium. RNAcentral describes it as "partial 16S ribosomal RNA". It matches the Rfam family "Bacterial small subunit ribosomal RNA", at positions 338 to 795 of the family's 1533-position model. The record is from RNAcentral.
CCUACGGGUGGCAGCAGUGAGGAAUAUUGGUCAAUGGGCGGGAGCCUGAACCAGCCAAGUCGCGUGAGGGAAGACGGUCCUAUGGAUUGUAAACCUCUUUAGGCGGGGAGCAAUGACGGGCACGCGUGCCCGGAGGGAGAGUACCCGCAGAAUAAGCAUCGGCGAACUCCGGGCCAGAAGCCGCGGUAAUACGUAGGUUGCGAGCGUUAUCCGGAUUUAUUGGGUUGAAAGGGAGCGUAGGUGGAUUGUUAAGUCGGGUGUGAAAGUUAGCGGCUCAACCGUAAAAUUGCAGUUGAAACUGGCAGUCUUGAGUACAGGAGAGGUGGGCGGAAUUCGUGGUGUAGCGGUGAAAUGCGUAGAUAUCACGAAGAACUCCGAUUGCGAAGGCAGCUCACUGGACUGCAACUGACACUGAGGCUCGAAAGUGUGGGUAUCAAACAGGAUUAGAUACCCUUGUAGUC